AGUCGGUGAGGUAACCUUCAUGGAGCCAGCCGCCUAAGGUGGGACAGAUGAUUGGGGUGAAGUCGUAACAAGGUAGCCGUAUCGGAAGGUGCGGCUGGAUCACCUCCUUU
This 110-nucleotide ribosomal RNA is filed under the name Peribacillus frigoritolerans. RNAcentral describes it as "partial 16S ribosomal RNA". It matches the Rfam family "Bacterial small subunit ribosomal RNA", at positions 1425 to 1533 of the family's 1533-position model. The record is from RNAcentral. RNAcentral also lists the same sequence under 1 other name. Lineage: Bacteria; Bacillati; Bacillota; Bacilli; Caryophanales; Bacillaceae.